CCGAGUUUACAACUCCCAAACCCAAUGUGAACGUUACCAAACUGUUGCCUCGGCGGGAUUUCUGCCCCGGGCGCGUCGCAGCCCCGGACCAAGGCGCCCGCCGGAGGACCAAUUUACAAACUCUUUGUAUGCCCCUCUGCGGAUUUUUAUUAUACAUUCUGAGCUUUCUCGGCGCUCCUAGCGAGCGUUUCGAAAAUGAAUCA
Molecule: unclassified non-coding RNA, 203 nt
Filed under: soil metagenome
Description: partial internal transcribed spacer 1
Source: RNAcentral